AACGAACGCUGGCGGCAUGCCUAACACAUGCAAGUCGAACGAGACCUUCGGGUCUAGUGGCGCACGGGUGCGUAACGCGUGGGAACCUGCCCUUAGGUUCGGAAUAACUCCCCGAAAGGGGUGCUAAUACCGGAUAAUGUCUUCGGACCAAAGAUUUAUCGCCUUUGGAUGGGCCCGCGUUGGAUUAGCUAGUUGGUAGGGUAAAAGCCUACCAAGGCGACGAUCCAUAGCUGGUCUGAGAGGAUGAUCAGCCACACUGGGACUGAGACACGGCCCAGACUCCUACGGGAGGCAGCAGGGGGGAAUAUUGGACAAUGGGCGAAAGCCUGAUCCAGCAAUGCCGCGUGAGUGAUGAAGGCCUUAGGGUUGUAAAGCUCUUUUACCCGGGAUGAUAAUAACAGUACCGGGAGAAUAAGCUCCGGCUAACUCCGU
This 432-nucleotide ribosomal RNA is filed under the name uncultured bacterium. Its description in RNAcentral is "partial 16S ribosomal RNA". It matches the Rfam family "Bacterial small subunit ribosomal RNA", at positions 29 to 506 of the family's 1533-position model. The record is from RNAcentral.